RNAcentral lists this ribosomal RNA (244 nucleotides) under uncultured bacterium. RNAcentral's name for it is "partial 16S ribosomal RNA". It matches the Rfam family "Bacterial small subunit ribosomal RNA", at positions 111 to 353 of the family's 1533-position model. The record is from RNAcentral.
UAACGCGUGGGUAACCUGCCUCAUACAGGGGGAUAGCAGCUGGAAACGGCUGGUAAUACCGCAUAAGCGCACAAUGUUGCAUGACAUGGUGUGAAAAACUCCGGUGGUAUAAGAUGGACCCGCGUCUGAUUAGCUAGUUGGUGAGAUAACAGCCCACCAAGGCGACGAUCAGUAGCCGACCUGAGAGGGUGACCGGCCACAUUGGGACUGAGACACGGCCCAGACUCCUACGGGAGGCAGCAUG